This is a long non-coding RNA of Alligator mississippiensis (American alligator), 765 nucleotides long. RefSeq lists it as uncharacterized. The record is from RefSeq and is a predicted model, not a curated record. NCBI's taxonomy places the organism in Eukaryota, Metazoa, Chordata, Crocodylia, Alligatoridae. The transcript has 4 exons.
UGAGACGGUUAAGCUGUCUUCAGGGCAAGGGUCACUGUUGUGUAUGUACGGGACGUAACAGAAUGGGAGCCUGCAGGACUGAAGCACCAAGAUGAACAUCAGGAGUUCGUGCAAAUCUCAGUUGUCUAAACUUGCUGCCAACUCAGACCUACCCCUGAAAAUUUUCAAAUGGAGGUGUGGAUCCCUUUGGAAGUUUUGAAUGGAGGUGCAGACCCCUUCGAGUUGUAUGCGAUGGCAUAGCAGCUAAAGUAUUCCAGGAUGACUCAAGAGGAGUGAUCUUGAUCCUUGCAUUGAAGGAUUCCCCUCCGAUCGAUCCAGCUGUGAAUGGAUUUGGUCAGUCAGGCUGGAGAGUCAAAAGUAGUCAUAUGGGACAUUAGACAACACCCCUUUGCAUGCUGUUGACUACAGAAACUGGAAUGCAUGGAUAAGGCCCAGUAAUGGGCCAUCUUCAUUCCUGUAUUGAGCCCAAUGAUUUGUAUUUGACUAAAGUAUAACUGGUGAUUGGCUAAAGCCCCUCUUCCAAAAGGGCAUCCCAGUCUUGAUCUGAAGGCAUACAACAUUUCUCUUGGUAGUUUGUUCCUAUAGCUAAUCCACCCUCACUGUUAAGAUUAUGCCUUGUCUCUAGUUUGAAUUUGUCUGGCCUCAGGUUCCAGCCAUUUGUUCCUGUUAUGCUUUUCUAUAUGAGAUUAAAGAGCCCUUUAGUACCUGGUAUUUUCUCCCUAUGAAAGUGCUUACACACUGUAAUCAAGUCACCUCUCAAUUGUG